GGGCGCUGUGCGAAGCUAGAAAUAACUGGGGGCAUGGAGAAUGCGGUGGCUGUAAAGGGCCGCUGAGGCGGUGGAGGCCUGGCAGAGAGCGUCCCCGCGGUCGCGGCUUCUGGCUUCUCUGUGGAGCUUGGUUCUUCCGUGGUGGUGCAGCACCCCAGGAACUUCAGGAACCAGUCCUUCCUUGGAGAGCUCCCCGGGACAGCCACGGGGGCCAAGUGAAACUAGCGCGUUUUCUUGGAUCCUACACUUUAUAUGUUUUCCUCCGUACCAUCUGACGUUUCUGGCGGUUCGUUGAACGCGAGAGAACGCUGAGCCGUCUGCACUGAGCCCGGGAGCAUCUUCAGGGCAGCGCCGCCCACGCGCGAGGUGAAUGAAGGACACGGCCUCUUGACACUCCCAGGCAGCACAGAUAGACGGAUCCAUCCCAGUUUCUGACCUGUAGCAUAGUCCCUCUCUCUGAAGAACUUCCUGUAAUAUUUUUUGCUAGGUGAGUCUGUUGGCAAUAAAUUCACUCAAUUUUUGUUUGUC
RNAcentral lists this long non-coding RNA (528 nucleotides) under Homo sapiens (human). Its description in RNAcentral is "ERCC6L2 antisense RNA 1". The record is from RNAcentral. Lineage: Eukaryota; Metazoa; Chordata; Mammalia; Primates; Hominidae.